This 305-nucleotide ribosomal RNA is filed under the name uncultured bacterium. Its description in RNAcentral is "bacterial SSU rRNA". It matches the Rfam family "Bacterial small subunit ribosomal RNA", at positions 337 to 659 of the family's 1533-position model. The record is from RNAcentral.
GCCUACGGGGGGCAGCAGUGGGGAAUAUUGCACAAUGGGGGAAACCCUGAUGCAGCGACGCCGCGUGAAGGACGAAGUAUUUCGGUACGUAAACUUCUAUCAGCAGGGAAGAAAAUGACGGUACCUGACCAAGAAGCCCCGGCUAACUACGUGCCAGCAGCCGCGGUAAUACGUAGGGGGCAAGCGUUAUCCGGAUUUACUGGGUGUAAAGGGAGCGUAGACGGCCGGGCAAGUCUGAUGUGAAAAACCGGGGCUCAACCCCGGGACUGCAUUGGAAACUGAAUGGCUGGAGGGUCGGAGUGGCA